UACGGGGGGUGCAAGCGUUAUUCGGAAUUACUGGGCGUAAAGCGCGUGUAGGCGGGAAGGUAAGUCUGAUGUGAAAGCCCUGGGCUCAACCUGGGAAGUGCAUUGGAUACUGCUUUUCUUGAGUUCUGGAGAGGAUGGGGAAUUCCCGGUGUAGAGGUGAAAUUCGUAGAGAUCCGGAGGAAUAUCAGUGGCGAAGGCGCCCAUCUGGACGGCAACUGACGCUGAGACGCGAAAGCGUGGGGAGCAAACAGG
This 252-nucleotide ribosomal RNA is filed under the name uncultured bacterium. RNAcentral's name for it is "partial 16S ribosomal RNA". It matches the Rfam family "Bacterial small subunit ribosomal RNA", at positions 524 to 776 of the family's 1533-position model. The record is from RNAcentral.